AUUGCUUCUCAGCCUUUUCACUAAGAUCAGGUGUAGUAGAUGUUCUUACCAGUUUGAUAUCUGAUACAUUCUCUAUCCAAGGACAGUGUAUUGAAUAGAGUUUCAGAGCUGGGGGAUGGAACUGGGGCUUGCUCAGUCCACUGCACUCACUGACUUGGUAUUGUAGUGCCUCCAGGUGCUGCACUCCCU
Heterocephalus glaber (naked mole-rat) is the source of this 189-nucleotide small nuclear RNA. Its record names the gene U2. It matches the Rfam family "U2 spliceosomal RNA". Rfam says of the family: U2 is a small nuclear RNA (snRNA) component of the spliceosome (involved in pre-mRNA splicing). Complementary binding between U2 snRNA (in an area lying towards the 5' end but 3' to hairpin I) and the branchpoint sequence (BPS) of the intron results the bulging out of an unpaired adenosine, on the BPS, which initiates a nucleophilic attack at the intronic 5' splice site, thus starting the first of two transesterification reactions that mediate splicing. The record is from Ensembl. Lineage: Eukaryota; Metazoa; Chordata; Mammalia; Rodentia; Bathyergidae.